UAAAGCGAAUAAGCUGAAGUAUUUAUUUAUUUUCUAUUGACUACGAGGAGCGGGGUUUAUUUAAUUGACGGAUUAGAACACCCCGAAGAGAACGGAUUAAUUUUUGUUAAUUAUCCGGCUUCAUGAGACGAGACUUAGCUUUUGUUUAAAUCCGAUAGCCUGGAUUAACAAUAGAAAUUCCCUGAUUAUUAUCUCAGAAUAAUAGUUCAUGCAUACGAGAUUCAUGCAUAGUUUAAUUACGCAUUCUCAUUUAAUUGAGAAUUUUCCCUCGAUUUAAAGUCUUACGUUAUUUUCUCGGAUUAAAGGUCGAGCGCAAGAAUAAGAGCUCGUCAAGGAGUCACUAAUCUGUAGCAAAGCUUUGCUAUCAGGUUGAGCAGCUGCCGAUGGUGAUGAAGUGACGAGCGGGAUUCUUUUGUCUUAUUAUGUAUUAAUGAACUCUAGGGUUACAUGUCUUCAUACAUGUAAUCAGAACCUUAUUCCGCUGCGUACUCAGAAGUUUUAUGUUAUUUUGGCUAAGUCAGAGUUAUCUGAACUUACUAGUUAUUUGAGUCUAUACGACUAAAACUCCGUUAUAUUAUAAUAAAUAUCCAUGUUGUUAACAA
Salvia miltiorrhiza (redroot sage) is the source of this 602-nucleotide long non-coding RNA. RefSeq lists it as uncharacterized. The transcript is spliced from 2 exons. Lineage: Eukaryota; Viridiplantae; Streptophyta; Magnoliopsida; Lamiales; Lamiaceae. The record is from RefSeq and is a predicted model, not a curated record.